GCUACUUGUGGUUCUGAGACCUCACUUGGAUCGCUAGCACCAACUUUGUUGAGGGACCUUACUCUGAAAACAUAUUCCGCUCCUGAGAUUCUGGGGGGCUCCGGGUGUAUCAAGAACCCUGACAAUGACAAAGGCUGAUUUGCUGCCAGAGCUGUUUUCUACAAUCUCUUGAUGAAUACUGGAGAUUCUUCGACCUCAUCACUUCUUGCCACUGGUUUUCACCUACCAUAAGCUCUACAAGAGAACCCAUGCUUUCAGCUGGAGGAAAAAAUAAGAAUACUGGGAGUGCAGCUGCAGAAUAUCUGAACUGGAGAAGACUUUGGAAAUGGAACAAGAGAGGACACAUGCACAGGUGGCUGUGCUGUUCUAUGCAGCUGAGAGACAGUGGCCUAUGAACUGGGUGCAUAUGGUGUCUGAUCCAAAAUAUGCUUUCUACAAAUAGAGGUGCUCUGUUCAUGGAAGGGGCAUUUGUCUGAUUUUGGGAAAUUCCUCUUCCUUUUACACCAAAGCUCAUUCCAUUCACCAAGGUCUGCUAAUCCUCUGUGUAGCAUUUUCAAGGCCCUGCAGGGGCCGCUAUGGAUGGAAGGGGACAGGAAGUCUCCUUCCACCAGUCCAGUUAUACACCCUGAAAUCUGGAUCCAGUGCAUGCAUUCAUUAAAACAUU
This is a non-coding RNA of Pogona vitticeps (central bearded dragon), 664 nucleotides long. NCBI's taxonomy places the organism in Eukaryota, Metazoa, Chordata, Lepidosauria, Squamata, Agamidae. The record is from RefSeq and is a predicted model, not a curated record.